This 473-nucleotide ribosomal RNA is filed under the name uncultured bacterium. Its description in RNAcentral is "partial 16S ribosomal RNA". It matches the Rfam family "Bacterial small subunit ribosomal RNA", at positions 355 to 813 of the family's 1533-position model. The record is from RNAcentral.
UGGGGAAUUUUGGACAAUGGGCGAAAGCCUGAUCCAGCAAUGCCGCGUGUGUGAAGAAGGCCUUCGGGUUGUAAAGCACUUUUGUCCGGAAAGAAAUCCUUGGCUCUAAUACAGUCGGGGGAUGACGGUACCGGAAGAAUAAGCACCGGCUAACUACGUGCCAGCAGCCGCGGUAAUACGUAGGGUGCAAGCGUUAAUCGGAAUUACUGGGCGUAAAGCGUGCGCAGGCGGUUUGCUAAGACCGAUGUGAAAAUUCCCCCGGGCUAAACCUGGGAACUGCAUUGGUGACUGGCAGGCUAGAGUAUGGCAGAGGGGGGUAGAAUUUCCACGUGUAGCAGUGAAAAUGCGUAGAGAUGUGGAGGAAUACCGAUGGCGAAGGCAGCCCCCGGCAAGUCAACUGACGCUCAUGCACGAAAAGCGUGGGGAGCAAAACAGGAUUAAUACCCUGGUAGUCCACGCCCUAAAACGAUGUC